This 253-nucleotide ribosomal RNA is filed under the name uncultured bacterium. RNAcentral's name for it is "partial 16S ribosomal RNA". It matches the Rfam family "Bacterial small subunit ribosomal RNA", at positions 524 to 776 of the family's 1533-position model. The record is from RNAcentral.
UACGGAGGGCGCAAGCGUUAUCCGGAAUCACUGGGUUUAAAGGGUGCGUAGGCGGCUUGAUAAGUCAGGGGUGAAAGCCCGCAGCUUAACUGCGGAACUGCCUUUGAUACUGUCGAGCUUGAAAGAGGUUGAGGUCAGCGGAACGUGACAUGUAGCGGUGAAAUGCAUAGAUAUGUCACAGAACACCGAUUGCGAAGGCAGCUGGCUGGAACGACUUUGACGCUGAGGCACGAAAGCGUGGGGAGCGAACAGG